RNA transcript from Columba livia (rock pigeon), 6149 nucleotides. It is a transcript of the gene named cytochrome b-245 chaperone 1, with no coding region annotated. Lineage: Eukaryota; Metazoa; Chordata; Aves; Columbiformes; Columbidae. The record is from RefSeq and is a predicted model, not a curated record. The transcript has 8 exons.
ACUGCUUUGCCCUCACUCAAAAUGGCCGCCGGCGCGUCCGCUCCUUCAUAAGCCGCGCGUCGCGCCGGCGCACCCCAGCGGCUGCUCUGUGGGGCGGGGGCGGCAAGCGGCGCCGCCGGGUUGACCGGUUUCAUUCAGAGCGUGUCUGUGCUGCCGCCAGGCAGUGAGGUUUCAUGAGUCAGACUGGGCUGUUGGGAGUUUCUUCUGAAGAUGUACAUGUUGGUUGAAAACCGCACAAGUUCCCAUCUUCAUCUAAAGAGGUCACCAGGAAUCCGCUCUUGGUCUCUUUUUGUUGGAAUAGCCUCCAUAGGCUUGGCUGCUGCUUAUUAUAGCGCAGACAGCUUGGCAUGGAAGCUCUUCUAUGUGGCCGGGUGUUUCUUUGUGGCAGCACAGAAUCUGGAGCAGUGGGAGGAAGCUGUAUUUGAUAAGAAAAAAGGAACAGUCUGCCUGAAAACAUUCAAUCUUUACAAGAAAAUACUGACCUUCUCAAAAGGAGGCAAUGAACAAGUGGUGGCUCUGCUGAAUGAGAUCCGAGACGUGAACGUGGAAGAGGAGACGGUGCGCUAUUUUGGGAAGGGUUACCUGGUCGUGCUGCGCUUCGUCACUGGAUUUUCACACCCCCUGACUCAGAGCGCAGUGUUCAGCUGUAGAAGAUACAGCCAUGGAUGAAACAGACAGAACUGCCUGCAUUUAAUCUUGGCUAUACUGGGCUUCUCUUCUGUUUUCACGAGAGCUAACAUUCUGUGGAAGAUGCAAACCACGCUGUGGUUUUCCAUUUAAAUCAGCUUUAGAAAGCUUCUGUAGGCUGGGGUGGACGUUCUCCUCCAUCCAUUCCUCUACGGUGCACUGGUGGAAAACUCGCUCCAUGGCCGCUCGGAGGUCCUGCACCACGGCGUUCCACUUGGAGAGCAGGCUGAGCGGAAAUCAGAAGGAAGAAACAAUCCCGUUUGCAGGUGAGCUCUGUCUCGAGGGGGCCUGGGCUACCAGGCCUUUGAAAGGGAGAACAGGCCUUGAAAUGACUUUACAGGAAAAGCAGCAGCUGUUAUAAGGGCUCAAAGGACUUGAUUUUGGGCAGAUGGCGGAAGGUUGAUGCUGUUUAAGUGCCAUUAAUCUUGGUACUUAUGCCAUGACUUCUAAAGUACCAAAAUGUGAGCUUAACAAAACACUAAAUACAUUUGAAGUGUAACAGAAACCCACUGUAAGACUUGUUGGGAAUUUAACUCAGGAAGAGUGGAUGCAGUUGGAUGUUUGCUUGGCAAAAAAUGUAUAAAUUAACCAUUUAGCAUGAGUCAGCAUCAUCUUUAGGACAAGUUCUGAGACUACAUCCAGUGACAGGAACGGGGCUGGGUUUUAUUCCAAGCCCUGCCUGGAACAUGGGCUGUGGUGGAUCCUGCACUGAGGCCAAGAGCUGCAGGAAGGUCUGUGCAGGAGCAUCUGCACAUUCAAGGAAGUUCUUCAGAGACCAAUUUUGUACCUGCAUUCAAAGAAUUUGUUCAACAGAAAGCAAAGAUAAACAUGUUCUUCUGUUUAAAACCACAUUAUGAAUGCUUCUUGUUGGAUUUUUGCUGAUGCUUCUGAAAUAAUUUUACAAAGAGGCAAGGACUCAAAACUAAAUGUUGGGGACUUGAAUGCUCCAAAUAGAACAGACUUUACUUUCUCUAUAAUGGAAAAUAAGUGUUGUUACCUUACUGCAUCUGGCUGGAAGUGAUGCAUUAUUAUAGGAUGAAUAAUUCGCCUUUUUCUGUGGUAGGGGCUGAACCAGCCUGUAACAUAUCUGAAAAAGAGUGUUAGUGUGAGCAGUCUGUGAACCAGCAGUGACGUGUGUUUGUAGCCUGACAGGGCUUUAGCCAAACUUCUGCACACAUAGAGAUAUAAGGAGUAAGUAAAUUUAAGUGUACAACUAUCUUGGAACUAUCUUGUAAGAGAUGGAUCCUGGCAGAUGAGAAUAACUGAUCACCUGUUGCAAUUUAAGUUUCAUUUCAAGCACCUGAGAUGUCAAUAUAUGGUGCCUGUUUCAUUUCAAGCACCUGAGAUGUCAAUAUAUGGUGCCUGAAAGGUAGAGCUUGAUGAUUCAAUCAGUCUGCUGGAGCUGUGCCCCACUUUGAGCGGAUACAGCCCCCACACUCGUGCAGCCAGCCAGAGCAUCACCACAAACCUCGGUACCUGUUCCUUUCAAGAAGCUCAUCCACUGAUGACUUGAGGUAGAAACUCACUUGCGUCACGAGCGUGAGGACGUUGCUCCCAGGAAAGGUCCCCAGAGCGGUGCUGUGCAAAGAGGAUCCGUUAGUUUCUGAACUCACCACGUGCUGAGAAGCGUCAGAAUUCCACAGCUGCAAUUUCACCUCAUGAAUGUUUCGGUUUCCAGGUUGGACAUUCCCAGGAGCUUUUCCACAUUUUCUUUAAUCUUUUCAGAAUAGCCACCUGGCAGAAGACAGCGGAAAUAAGUAAAAAGGAGCCUAAAUAACCAAAAUGUUCUUAAAGAGGGUUUUCCUGGAGUACCCUGCAUUGGCUUAGUAGUUCCCUUUGGAUCAAGAAUUUUUUGAAAGGUAAAAUGGAAAUAGAACGAGGAAAAGAACUUGAGGGUGGGAGGAGUACAUUGUCUUUCACACAGUUGUAAAGCACUUGUAGCUAUGAGCUUUCCACUCGGGGUGCUGAAUGAUUUUAGUGCCUUAGUUAAAAACAGGUAGCUUGCAGUUUCUUAUUUUAGAGAUAAGAAAUGCAGAAAGACAAAAAUAAAAAUCCUGUUGGCAACUGCCUGUGAAGAAAAAAGAAACUACAGGGUCUAUUUUACAAGCCCUAGAUCCAUUAAUUAGUCAAAACAAUUUUUACAUGUAAACAAGAUCUAAAUCUCACUGAUAUACCAGCAGUGUUUCAAAUCAGUUUCAAAAGCAAUUCAGCUUCUUAAUUUUUUUUUUUAGUAUAAGCACAAAGUUUGUGACCAUUUACAGGCUAAAAUACAAGAAAUUAUUAGUAUACUAUGGCUAUUUUAAAAUACUGAGGCCAAGAGGCUUUGCUCCUGUACUGCAAACAUGCAAGUGUAUAAUUUAUUGUUCAUAAUUCAGACCUCAAUCAGGUAGUCAAACCACCUCAAAAUAUAAUAAGCCUGUGCCAACCUUGGGGCAAAGUCACCUCCCUCCUGUGCUAGGGAUUAGCUGAGAGAGAAUGAAGUGGUGGUUGUACCGUUCUCCAGUGCCUGCAGACACACAGCCAGGGACGGAACUGCCACAGGGAGCAGCUCACACAAAACCGAGAAGUGAUCGUACCUAAGUAAGAAAACAUCUGCCAAUUAGACAUUUUACGUUUAGAACAUAGUAAACACGGGGGGUGUGUUAAUAUUUCUAUCACUAGCAUUCAAAGAAGUUUAAAAACAUCAGUUUGUCUCAGAGAAGGCACCAUCUACCUCUGAAAUGCUAAGUUUCUGUUUUACUAAUAAGAACAGAUAUGAACCAAAUUACUUUCUCAAGCCAGAUUAGAUUCAAAAAUUGGAAUUCAGCUCUCUCGUAUUUCCUUAGACCUCCUGUCGCAUAAAAUCCUUUUGCUCCUUCACUACGUUAACAAGGUCUCUCUCAUGCAACUUCACCCACAUUAGACAUUCAGCUAUACACCACACAUUGACUGUGCUGUCUAUAAGCAGUCCAACGUGGCACUAAGUAUAUUCUAGCCUUCAAAUCCAAUCUGCUGUGGUUAGUGUCUGCCAAAACAGUCGCUCCUGCUGAUUAACGCCAUGGCAGGUGACUGGAACUCUGAAAUCCGCCCUUCACGGUCAGCGGGAGGCCCAGCAGUAACCAACAGGCAGGACUGCAGGGUGCAAAGUUCCCUUCUAAAUCCCCAGCCCCCCUGUACCUCCUGGGGAGUUUUUGGGUGGAAAUUUGCUUCUGUGGGAUCCUCGGAACCAUUUAUAAGGAUGGUCCUUACCUCUGCCAGCCGGUCAGGGCGAUACCUUCAAGGACAUCGGCGGGGCUAUCGCUUGCCACUUUCAGCCACUGAAGAUGGUUUUUUAAGUGGUGCCCGAUGAGCGUCAGAGACUGAUUCACUCCCGUAGCUCCUUUAAAGGCACUGGCAAACCACACCUUGGAGAAGCCGCAUCUACGAUACUUCUCUAUGAGCUGCACUGAAAUAAUACACAAAAGAACACUUAGGGGACAAGUUUUUCUCCAUUUAAAGCAUUGACUGUAAUGUUCCAAUUAACAGCAAAGCAAGUCCAGUUACAAGAGGCUGCUGAGCCUUGUCCCAUCAAGUUCUGAGCACCAGCAAGGACGGGAGAUUUGACACGCUCUCCGAACAACCUGUUUCUCUGUUUGACUGCCCUCCUAUCUUCAUGUGCCCAGUGACCAUAUCCCAUCCCCUUGAAUUGCUAAAUUGCUUCAAUGUGCAGAACCAUGGGUAUGUAACCAGUACGUGCAACAUCUGACAACUGAUUCUUCUUUGAACAAACAAAUAUUCGUGUGCAUGUCAUCUGCCUGAUUGCAGCCUUUAGGAGUUUUUCCUUUGAAUUCUAUACACGUAUGAAGCCUUGAAGCUUCUUUUGUAGAGGUGUUUGAUACAGAGCUAUCUGCUCCCACUGGUUUUAAUGCAAGGAGUUAAUGGAACGGUACUUGUGAGAAACCUCUCAAUCUCCCAUCAGUGAUUCCAUAGCCCUGUUGAAAAGAAUUAAGCAGCAAAAAGAUGCAAGCCCUUCAUAGGAGAAGCAAAAGCAGAGAAAGAAAAUAAAUAACAGCAACUAUUAUGUGAAAUCAAACAAGGGCUAUGUUUAUGCUACUAAAGCAAUUUAACAAAAAUAUAAUUUGUGUCCAACUAAGGUAUGUUUUAAUCAUAUGAUUUUGGUUUGGCUACUUUGUUUAACAGGUAACAGAGCUCUUUGCUUUUCCUAAGCAGCUCAGCAGAGAAGUACAAACCUUUGCCCUCCACGUCCAGGUCUGCUGCGUAGUCCCAGAUCAUGGGCUGCACAAGCUGUGGGACCCCAGACUCUGAAAGGAACAGAGUUCUAAGCAGUGGAAAAGAGCCAGUUAAAAAUGACUACUCAGUACAUAUGGUCGGUGCAGUAACACCGUAACAGACUAGAAUUAACUCCGGCUUGUCACCAGAAUUCUUCACGUACAGUUGAAGCGACCACAUGUCCUGUCAGCCCAGCCAGGGGUUUGAACAUGGGGGUUCGCAUGCCAGGGGCCACCAAGUCCUUGGACAGCCUGAAACCACUAAUACGGAGCAGCAGCAACUAUUUAUCGGAGAUCCCAUUCAUCCCAAGCUCAUCUCAUCCUUUGUCCCUGGAAUCUACCUGUAUACCUGCUGGGCUGAACUGGUGGUGCUGCCAACUGUACACACAAGAUUUCAGCUAAAUUCAAAGGAAAUAUUCACCUUUUGAGCUAGAGAUUGUCUCAGCUCCCUUUGCACAGGGCUCAGCUUCUCAAGACACUUUGAAAGCACAAAUGAAGAUAUAGGUUUAGCUUCAAAUUCCUUUAUAAUUAACUCUCUGACUAGUUUUAAACAUGAAAAAACAAAUUUUGGAGAAACUGCAGUAAAUUGUACAGAAAUUUAGUAUUUUAACUUGUUUAGCUCGUUAUUGCCUGUGGCAGUACAGUGCACUUAGCUAGAUGCUGUGCUGCUCUUGUGGGAACUGCACGGGUCCUAUCUGCAUUUAUUUUGGAUGAUUUCCCACUACUAAAGCCACAAGUAGGUCACUCACUGCUGGAGGAGUUGCACGGCUGCUCAUGGUGUUGUCUAGAUCUAUUUAGAGCAGACAUAUAAGGUGGCUCUGAAAAUGCUGGAAUUCCAUCUCCGUUAGGAUUAGUCAAAUUUUAGCAGUAGUUUCCUAUUUUUCAAGAACCAAGACUCAGGAUGUCCAGCUCACUGAGCUAUCCCACAAUUCAGUAUCAGAGCUCCUCGUGCCAUGCACUGUGACCACCUGCACUGUCAGAGAUGCUCACAGGGCCGCAGCUUCUCCGUGCGAGUCUGCACCGCUGGAACCAGAAACUGCACAGAGCAAUGACUAACGUUAAAGGCGGCGAAAGGCACAGAAAUUUAGGCUGAGACUACAAACGCUUGUAGGCUUUUUUAAAUGUGUAAAGAAAGUAGAAUUGAUGGCAAGCACUGUUUUGUUUGUCACUGUAUUACCAGAUGGAAAAGUAAAAGCACAUGUGUUGAGACUUGCC